CGUCAAGCUUAACGAAGUGGGGGUUGAGUCGAGCAGUGGGGAGAGGAGGGGCGUGGGGAUGGCCGCCUGCCGGUCACUUCGGGGCGGCGCAGGCGCAGGAGGAGGGACCUGGGGCGCGCUGUGCACGCCCGGAACCAUCGUCGAGGAAGGAGAGCCACGUGUGACAAUAUGGACAGAUCUGACAAACAUGGUGUUAAAUGAGCGACACAUUGCGGAAGGAUGGGAAGAGCCGCACGUUCUUACCUUCUUCCCAGCCCAGGAUCUCCACGUGAUGUUCAAUCCCUCAUCGGGAAGAUGUCUUUUAACAUGGAAUGAGGGUUUAGAUGACAGCUGUCAAAAAGAAUGACAGGUGGAGAUGAAGACCUAAUAAGAUGCGUUAACCUAAUGCUACAUAAAGAAUUACCCCAAAACUCAGUGUCUUAAAACAGUGAACAUUAUCUUCUCACAGCUUUUGUGGGCCAGGACUUGGAAGCGGCUGAGCUGGGUGCUUGGCUCACGGCCUCUUGAGGCGACGGUCGGGGUAUUGGCCAGGGUCGCAGUCACACAGUCAUCUGAAGGCUUCACCGGCCUGGCGGUCCUCUUCCACAGGGACUCGCUCACGUGCCUCACGAGUUGGUGUUGGCUGCUGGCAGGGGGCCCCCGUCCUCUCCCAAUGAGCCUUUCCACCAGCCGCUUGAAUGUCCUCUUGACAUGGAGGCUGGCUUCCCCUGAGAGAGAGAUCAAGAGAGACCAAGACUGAAGCCACAACAUUUUUCAUUACCCAGCCUCAAAAGUCACUCUCCAUCAUUUCUGCAACGUCCGUUGGUUACACAGGUCAACUCUAUUCAACAUGGAUGGGAACUACAAAAAGGCUUGAAUACCCAAAGGCAAGACUCGCUGAGGGCCGUCUCGGAGGACGGCUGCCGCUUGAGAGAAUGUCAAAUCCCACAGGUUCUUCAUCAUCCGGUCCAGCUUGCCCUGAUGUGCCCGCCCGUGUCAUCUCAGCUCUGCUGAGCCCUCUGUCCUCGGGCCCCUCAUCCGGCGCCGAGGCGUACAGUGUCUCCUGUGCCUUAACGCCAAGAGGGACGGCCGUUUGUAAGUCCUUUCAUAGCCUCCGCUACACCAAAGGCAGGGCUGAAAGCACACAUGGGGCCCAGAAGUUCUCGUCGAAUAACAAAAUAGUGAUUUUUGUCUCUUCAGAUGUCACGUGAGAGUUUCAGGAUUCCAUACUUUCCCAGGAGUUUUCCUUGUUAUCUUACAAGGACAAAUGUUUUCACCGUUAUCAAAAUUCCUUCAGUUGUUUGUAACUUUAAAGUCCCAUCAGGACCUGCGUUCCAAGACUUUAAACUACUGAAGCCUAACGUUGUAUUUAAUGAGGAGCAAAACCAAGUUAAUUCCCAUUCACAGAUGACAAGUGAACAGUUGGCAGCAAUUUCAACAUCUGCUUUUAAUUCAUUUAAGUGUGAUCAAAUGGUGAUUAAAAAAAGUGCUGGAAACUCUAAUAUUUCUCCAUUAUCCUUCGAAUAGUUGUCUCUGCUAACUGAAGUUGACUCUUGAUGGUUGUGUAGAUGGACCCAAAGUAAACACUGGGGCAGAGAGUGGUCCGUUUUUGUGCCUUCAUGUGGGAGCCUGUUUCACCCUUUCUUCGUUCCAAGUUCGUUCCCAAAUGUUCCAGACAAAAGGCUCUUGUUAGGGUUGAGUCACUGCUGGUUUGAAACGGGGAUAGUAACCAACAUGUUAGUUGGAACUAGCCUUAGAUUUAAAAACUUCUUGCCUUUGUGAGUUCACGCACACGCGCACACACAAUCUGUAAACAAUAUCCUCAGACGAUGGCUGUGCUGUUCUUUAUUUAUAAUCUGUCUCCAUUUGCCUCAUACACCUUGCUCACCCUUCCUUUUAGGCGUACUUCUUGCCAAAUAAAGUAAUUAGCAAGGAAUCAGGUAGGUAAUUGGAUGGAAUUACAUGAUACUUGCUUUUAAUACUAUGUGUAAGAAAUAUAGGUAAUUGUUAUAGUUUCUAUGAAUAUAUUAUUUACAGGCUGGUUUGUCGAAUACCCAUACUAAGUUGUACAGAUUGUUAUUGUCAUGUCUACAUUUUUUAAAAAAAGAUUCUACAAUUCUGUACUUUUAUUUAAUUAAUUAAUUAAUUUAUUUUUUGGUGAGGAAGAUUGUCCCUGAGCUAACAUCUGUGUCAAUCUUCCUCUAUUUUUUAUGUGGGAUGCCACCACAGCAUGGCUUGAUAAGUGGUGUGUAGGUCCAUGCCCGGGAUCUGAGCCUGCGAACCCCGGGCUGCUGAGGCAGACCGUGCAGACUUAAUCACUAUACCACUGGGCUGGCCCCCAUUUCUACAAUUCAAAUUCAUGUAAGAAGAAUACAAAAUUAAAUAAAAAGAAUUCUUAGGGUAUAAUGAAUAUGAAAAUGACCACAGAUACAAAAGCACUAAAAAAUUUUAGAUAAAGGAUUUCUUCUCUAUAAUUUUGCUCACGCUGUUUUUCCUGGACAAUAUCAACUACUGCUCUGUUGUUAAUUCCCAGCCAUAACCGGAAAACUCCUGUAUCUGCAUUUCCAACCCUGGCCUUUCUUUCUCACUUGGCAUCUGUAAAUCUAGCCACCUACCUGGAGCUUGCUUGGAUGACCUACAAACACCCCAAACUCAACAUUCUGAAACCCAGCGCGUUAUAUCUGCCUGCUCCCCCGUCCCCACCUCUUCUAUAGAGGUGACUGGUUUUAUCAUAUAUCCCGUCAUCUAAGCCAGAAACUUGG
Equus caballus (horse) is the source of this 2741-nucleotide long non-coding RNA. The record is from Ensembl. NCBI's taxonomy places the organism in Eukaryota, Metazoa, Chordata, Mammalia, Perissodactyla, Equidae.